RNAcentral lists this ribosomal RNA (814 nucleotides) under Placopsis aff. gelida Dillman 2014188. RNAcentral describes it as "SSU rRNA". It matches the Rfam family "Eukaryotic small subunit ribosomal RNA", at positions 65 to 894 of the family's 1831-position model. The record is from RNAcentral. Lineage: Eukaryota; Fungi; Ascomycota; Lecanoromycetes; Trapeliales; Trapeliaceae.
AAAGCCAACUWAUACCGUGAAACUGCGGAAAUGGCUCAUUAAAUCAGUUAUCGUUUAUUAGANAGNANCUACUUACUUGGAUAACCGUGGUAAUUCUAGAGCUAAUACAUGCUAAAAACCUCAACUUCGGAAGGGGUGUAUUUAUUAGAUAAAAAACCAAUGCCCUUCGGGGCUCCCUGGUGAUUCAUAAUAACUAAACGAAUCGCAUGGCCUUGCGCCGGCGAUGGUUCAUUCAAAUUUCUGCCCUAUCAACUUUCGAUGGUAGGAUAGUGGCCUACCAUGGUGGCAACGGGUAACGGGGAAUUAGGGUUCUAUUCCGGAGAGGGAGCCUGAGAAACGGCUACCACAUCCAAGGAAGGCAGCAGGCGCGCAAAUUACCCAAUCCCGACACGGGGAGGUAGUGACAAUAAAUACUGAUGUGGAGCUCUUUAGGGUUUCACAAUUGGAAUGAGAAAAAUCUAAACCACUUAAACGAGGAACAAUUGGAGGGCAAGUCUGGUGCCAGCAGCCGCGGUAAUUCCAGCUCCAAUAGCGUAUAUUAAAGUUGUUGCAGUUAAAAAGCUCGUAGUUGAACCUUGGGCCUGGCCGGCCGGUCCGCCUCACCGCGUGCACUGGUUCGGCCGGGCCUUUCCUCCUGGGGAACCGCAUGCCCUUUACUGGGUGUGCCGGGGGAAUCAGGACUUUUACUUUGAAAAAAUUAGAGUGUUCAAAGCAGGCAUUUGCUCGAAUACAUUAGCAUGGAAUAAUAGAAUAGGACGUUGUGGUUCUAUUUUGUUGGUUUCUAGGACCGCCGKAAUGAUUAAUAGGGRACGGA